RNAcentral lists this ribosomal RNA (253 nucleotides) under uncultured bacterium. RNAcentral describes it as "partial 16S ribosomal RNA". It matches the Rfam family "Bacterial small subunit ribosomal RNA", at positions 524 to 776 of the family's 1533-position model. The record is from RNAcentral.
UACGAACCGGCCAAACGUUAUUCGGGAUCAUUGGGCUUAAAGAGUGCGUAGGCGGCGCCGUAAGUCGGGUGUGAAAUCCCUCGGCUCAACCGAGGAACUGCGCCCGAUACUGCGGCGCUCGAGGGAGACAGGGGUGAGCGGAACUGAUGGUGGAGCGGUGAAAUGCGUUGAUAUCAUCAGGAACACCGGUGGCGAAAGCGGCUCACUGGGUCUCUUCUGACGCUGAGGCGCGAAAGCUAGGGUAGCGAACGGG